Molecule: long non-coding RNA, 204 nt
Organism: Sebastes umbrosus (honeycomb rockfish)
Lineage: Eukaryota; Metazoa; Chordata; Actinopteri; Perciformes; Sebastidae
Exons: 3
Source: RefSeq, a predicted model, not a curated record
UGUUUAUACAGUAGCCCAGAACGGACAAACUAAACACUUGGGCUGCGUCCAAAAUCGCAUACUACGCACUACAUACUCAAUAUGUGUACUAUCGGACAACAUACUUUUGUUUGAAUAAACAGUAGUAUGAAUCUUUUCAGAUACACACUGAGCAGUAAUUUACGUCAUCACUUCCUGAGAGCCUCCUUGCCAGUUGGAGACGUG